Molecule: microRNA precursor, 92 nt
Filed under: Apis mellifera (honey bee)
Lineage: Eukaryota; Metazoa; Arthropoda; Insecta; Hymenoptera; Apidae
Description: microRNA ame-mir-278 precursor
Gene: ame-mir-278
Rfam family: mir-278 microRNA precursor family (bases 9-83)
Source: miRBase by way of RNAcentral
UCACGAGUAGUGUGUCCGGAUGAGGUCUUCAUCGACCGUGAUUUAAUUUCAUAAGGUCGGUGGGACUUUCGUCCGUUUGCAAGACUCGAGGA